This 253-nucleotide ribosomal RNA is filed under the name uncultured bacterium. RNAcentral's name for it is "partial 16S ribosomal RNA". It matches the Rfam family "Bacterial small subunit ribosomal RNA", at positions 524 to 776 of the family's 1533-position model. The record is from RNAcentral.
UACGUAGGGUGCAAGCGUUGUCCGGAAUUAUUGGGCGUAAAGAGCUCGUAGGCGGUCUGUCGCGUCUGCUGUGAAAACUCGGGGCUUAACCCCGGGCCUGCAGUGGGUACGGGCAGACUAGAGUGCGGUAGGGGAGACUGGAAUUCCUGGUGUAGCGGUGAAAUGCGCAGAUAUCAGGAGGAACACCGGUGGCGAAGGCAGCUCGCUGGGACGGUACUGACGCUGAGGCGCGAAAGCGUGGGGAGCAAACAGG